AGCAGUCGCCGCGGUAAUACGUAGGUGGCAAGCGUUGUCCGGAAUUAUUGGGCGUAAAGCGCGCGCAGGCGGAUCGGUCAGUCUGUCUUAAAAGUUCGGGGCUUAACCCCGUGAUGGGAUGGAAACUGCCAAUCUAGAGUAUCGGAGAGGAAAGUGGAAUUCCUAGUGUAGCGGUGAAAUGCGUAGAUAUUAGGAAGAACACCAGUGGCGAAGGCGACUUUCUGGACGAAAACUGACGCUGGGGCGCGAAAGCCAGGGGAGCGAACGGGAUUAGAGACCCCAGUAGUCCCUGUCUCUUAUACA
RNAcentral lists this ribosomal RNA (303 nucleotides) under uncultured bacterium. Its description in RNAcentral is "partial 16S ribosomal RNA". It matches the Rfam family "Bacterial small subunit ribosomal RNA", at positions 507 to 809 of the family's 1533-position model. The record is from RNAcentral.